UACUACUGUAGCAAAAGCAAGGUGCAGUGGU
This 31-nucleotide non-coding RNA is filed under the name Rattus norvegicus (Norway rat). The record is from RNAcentral. Lineage: Eukaryota; Metazoa; Chordata; Mammalia; Rodentia; Muridae.